GUAGGGAAUCUUCCACAAUGGACGCAAGUCUGAUGGAGCAACGCCGCGUGAGUGAAGAAGGGUUUCGGCUCGUAAAGCUCUGUUGUUAAAGAAGAACGUGGGUGAGAGUAACUGUUCACCCAGUGACGGUAUUUAACCAGAAAGCCACGGCUAACUACGUGCCAGCAGCCGCGGUAAUACGUAGGUGGCAAGCGUUAUCCGGAUUUAUUGGGCGUAAAGCGAGCGCAGGCGGUCUUUUAAGUCUAAUGUGAAAGCCUUCGGCUCAACCGAAGAAGUGCAUUGGAAACUGGGAGACUUGAGUGCAGAAGAGGACAGUGGAACUCCAUGUGUAGCGGUGAAAUGCGUAGAUAUAUGGAAGAACACCAGUGGCGAAGGCGGCUGUCUGGUCUGUAACUGACGCUGAGGCUCGAAAGCAUGGGUAGCGAACAGGAUUAGAAACCCGUGUAGUCC
RNAcentral lists this ribosomal RNA (450 nucleotides) under uncultured bacterium. RNAcentral's name for it is "bacterial SSU rRNA". It matches the Rfam family "Bacterial small subunit ribosomal RNA", at positions 354 to 796 of the family's 1533-position model. The record is from RNAcentral.